CUUUGAAGUUGUCUAUGGCCAUGNCUAAUCUCAUCUGAUCUCGCACGCUAAGCAGGGCCAUGCCUGGUUAGUACUUGGAUGGAAGACCACCUGUGAAUACUGGGUGCUGUAGGGA
Molecule: ribosomal RNA, 115 nt
Filed under: Neotoma lepida (desert woodrat)
Lineage: Eukaryota; Metazoa; Chordata; Mammalia; Rodentia; Cricetidae
Source: RNAcentral